CGCGUAGGCGGUUUACUAAGUCAGAUGUGAAAGCCCAUGGCUCAACCAUGGAAGUGCAUUUGAAACUGGCAGACUUGAGUAUUGGAGGGGGUGGUGGAAUUCCCGGUGUAGAGGUGAAAUUCGUAGAUAUCGGGAGGAAUACCAGUGGCGAAGGCGACCACCUGGCCAAAUACUGACGCUGAGGUGCGAAAGCGUGGGGAGCAAACAG
This 208-nucleotide ribosomal RNA is filed under the name uncultured delta proteobacterium. RNAcentral's name for it is "partial 16S ribosomal RNA". It matches the Rfam family "Bacterial small subunit ribosomal RNA", at positions 568 to 775 of the family's 1533-position model. Lineage: Bacteria; Deltaproteobacteria. The record is from RNAcentral.